CACUACAAAAAAAAGGACCUUGUAUGGCGGCCUUUAGAUGGCGGAUUUCCGCCAUCAAUACUUCAAUAGUUUAGAUGGCGGAAAUCCGCCAUCUAUUCUUUCAGUCCGCCGAGGAAACGUUUUGGCUCGACGGCGGUUCGGAAUUUUUUUCGAUGGCGGUGUUUAGAUGGCGGAAAUCCGCCAUCUAAACUAUCCCGCCCAAAAUUUCGAAUCUCCCCCAAUUUCCAGCCCGAUUACCCGAUUAAAAUGACUUAAGAUGGCGGAAAUCCGCCAUCUUAAGUCAUCGGGGACUCGGGCGGAAAAAGCCCGCCCAAAUUUCGAUUGGGCGGACUUUCACUUAAGUGCUGGCGGCACUUAAGUGUACUUACAUGGCGGAUUUCCGCCAUGUAAGAUUUGGGGUUUAUUAAAAACCCCAAAUCCAGACAGAACGCGUUUGUUCUGUCUUGCUUUGGAGUGAAGUGCUGCCGCCGUUCUGUUCCCGUCGAUUCGUCCGUGCCGCCGUUCUGUUCCGACUCCGUCCGCCGUCGCCGACUCCGAUCUCGCCUCCGGUGGUGGCCGUUCUUGCUUUGGUCUGUCCGUUCUUCCUUUGGUCGGUCCCUUCUUGCUUUGGUGAGAUAUAUUACUUAUAUGUUUUAAUAUUUGUUUUAUAUUUUUGAUUUUGAUUUUGUUUUUUAGGGUAUCUUUGAUUGUUUUUGGGUAUCUUUGAUUGUUUAUCUUUGAUUGUAUUAAUAUAUUCCAUGUCCAUAUAUUUUUAAUCUUUGGGUAUUUCUAUUUUUAAUCUAUUCAAUGUAAUGUUUACAUUUUGAUCUAUUUACUGGAAUUAAUCGAUCUAUUCACCAUGUUUAGAUUUACUGGAAUUUAUACUGGAAUUAAUCAAUUUACAUUUUGAUCUAUUUAGAAUAUAUGUUUAAAUCGCUAAUGUUGAAUAUUGUAUUUGAAUAAAGGAUUUCGGUGAAGAAAUCGCCGCUGCUCUCCGCCUGUCUCCCCGCCGGUUCUCGACGUCUCUGUGAUCGCCCUCUCCGGUUCGAUCUGUGAAGGUAUGUGGAUUUCAAUUUUUCAUUUUUUUCAUUUUUUUCGUUUUUCAUUUGAUUUUUUGAUUUGUAAUUUCUUAAUGAUGGUUUGUGAAUGAUGGUUUGAUUUAAUUGGUUUGAAUAAUUGCUGUGAAUUUCAAUAAUGUUGAAUAGGUUUGUGAAUGAUUUAAUGGGUUUGUGAAUGGGUUUGUGAAUGAUGAAUGGGUUUGUGAAUGAUUGACAUUUCUAUUUUUAGUGGACUGCGAUACUUAUGUUGUAUUGAAAAGCGAGGAUCGAUGAACCAAAUAAUAGUUCUGGUCUUAUCUUCUGUUUAAACUUAGUUGUAGAUCAUCUUUUAAUCUUAGUGAAAUUUCAUCUCUCUAACAUCAUGAGUCCAAACAUAUACUAUAAAUAUACAAGCUUGUUUCAAGAUAUAGAUUGUGUGAUUGUAAUACAAAUUAUUUGAUAAUAACCCAUACAGAUUAGAAUAAAUUAAAAUUAAAUCAAAUACAAAUACAAAUACAAAUGUUAAACAUGCCUUGUGUAGCUGUGUUCCUAGGCAGUAAUUUCUUUGAGGAAUAUUGAGGAUUGUAAAUGGUUUAUCUAUAUUUGAGGAUUGAGGAUUGUAAAUGUAUUGAUUGAGGAUUGAGUAUUGUUAAUUUGGUUUUGGUUUGACUAUUUGGGUUUUGGUUUUUGUUUCUCAAUUUCCUAUUAUCUUUUUAUUUCUUUUCUAUGUAUCUCUUAUUUUGGUUUGUUGCUCGAAUUUUGUUUAUCUAUUUGUUGCUCGCAUGUUUAUGUUUAUUUGAAUGGUUUGAUGUUUUGAUUUCAAGGUGGUUUUGUUAUAGUUUAUGAUGAAGAUGCAUGUGUCUACUAUUUUAGUUUUGAUUUCAAUAUAUGAAUAAGAAUUUAUCAUGUUGUGUUUUUGAUAUUUAAGAAUUUCAAUGCAUGAUUUAAUAAUAAUUAUGAAAUGUGAAGAUUUUGUUUUAAUUUUAAUGAUUUAUUUAAUUUAAAUAAUAAGUGUUUCUAAUUUAAGUAAAUAAUUACUGAUUUUAGAUAAUGUAGAAAAUAAUGAAAUUAAAUAUUUUAUUUACUGUUUUUAAUUAAAUUUAUAAUAAAUAAAUAAAUAAAUAAUUAACUGUUUUUAAUAAAUUAAGUAAUUAAAUUAAUUAUUUUGUCUUACACUUGUAAUUAAUUAAUUUGCAUGUAAUUAUAAAUGUGUUAAUUAGUAAUUAUUAAAUUGAAUGUUUUUAAUGAUUUGUUAACUAAUAAUUAUAAAAUUGUAUCAAAAUAAUAUGUUAAUUAAAAUGUUAAUUAAAUAAUUAGAAAAAAUUUAAUUACUGUGUCUUAAUAAUUUAAAAUUAAAAUAAUUAGUUAUUAAAAUAAUUAAAAUAAUGUUUUGAAUUAAUUAAAUGACAUACUGUUUUUAAAUAAUUAAAUAAUGAAAGUUUUUCAUAUUUGAAAUUAAUCAAUUAUUUUACAAUUAUUUCAUGAAUUAAAAUAAUUAAAAUAAAUAUUUCAUAUUUUAAAUUAAAAUAAUUAAAUUUUUUAUUUAAUCAACUUAUUUGUAAAUUAAUUAAAUAAUUGUAAUUAAAUAUCAAUGUAAUUAAUAAUUUACAUGAAUCUAUAUCUUUAUUAAUUAGUUGCAUGAAAAAAAAUUGUUUUAAUUAUUUUAUGUUUUUAAAUUAUUUAAUAAAUAAUUAAAAUAUUAAAAUAAUUUUUGUUUUUAAAUAAUUUAAAAUUUAUAUAAAAUAUUUAAUGUGUUUUUGAUUUGUUAUAGGUUUUUUAAAAUCAAGAUUGAAGUAAGUUUUGGAUUGAAGAAAAGCUCAUUUGCGG
RNAcentral lists this long non-coding RNA (2843 nucleotides) under Zostera marina. RNAcentral describes it as "long non-coding RNA (ZMAR_LNC002792)". Lineage: Eukaryota; Viridiplantae; Streptophyta; Magnoliopsida; Alismatales; Zosteraceae. The record is from RNAcentral.